This 1123-nucleotide long non-coding RNA is filed under the name Homo sapiens (human). Its description in RNAcentral is "HSALNT0108871". The record is from RNAcentral. Lineage: Eukaryota; Metazoa; Chordata; Mammalia; Primates; Hominidae.
GUUGGGUCUGAUCACCCCAACAUUCCUGGCUGCCCAAUGUGGAGCAACAAAGACCUGGUGAAGAAAUGCUAGAGCGUGUGAAAGCGGACGAUGCAUUGUCAAAGGAUACCCAAGAUAUGAAUGAACCCUGUGGAUGCCCUCAAGAUGUGUACGACCAUGGAACGGGAGACUGGAGGGACCCAUGGAUCCCAACCAUGGACCGGGUUCCCCCAGUACAAGACAGUUGAAUCUGAAUGCAAAGAUGGAACGAAGACCAACUAGAGUCACAAUGCUUAAAGAACCAAUGCUUUCUGACUCAGCUCCUCUCUACCCUGAAUACAAGAGAGCCUAAUAGUUAGGCAGGAAUAUCAUCACCCCUAUUCAGCAUGAAGGAAUUACAUAAGAUGGACCUUCAUCCUUCUGCAACCCCUAGGAUUAAGGGUCCUCUCGUAAAAGGAAAAGGAGAGAUAUGUGUGAAGCAUUCAAACCAGAGUGACUCCAGUUUGAAUAAGGGCUAAGAAAAAUGAAGCUGGAUCACCAACCAGCAAUUAGGGCUGCACAGCCUGCAAUUGCCUUGCUCAAUUAAAAGAGGCCACCUUUUAUGUUAGUAAUAAUGAUAGCUAGUAAUAAUGAUAGUAAUAAUACCUUCUCUUUUACAAAAAAGAGAAGGGGGCAUGUUGGGAAAAAGCUGAGUGUUGGGAAAAAAAACUGAGGCAGGGCUUGCAUGUCUGACAUAAUGGCCUCUGGAAUGUGUCUAGACUUGCUGGCUCCUUGCUUCUAGCCCUCCUAGGCUCCUAGAUCGAUUGUAUUCCCAUUAUCUCAAGUACCAGAACAUGUUCCAUAUAAAUACUAAACCGUCACAGCUGUAGAUCAUGUGCCUGCCCUUUUGACCCCCACAUUCUCAUCACCUGCUUCUUUGUUGGAUUACCAAUAAAUAGCAUGGGCUCCCAGAGCUCAGGGCCUUCGCAGCCUCCACAAUUGCGAUGGCCCCCUGGUCCCACUUUAUUUCUCAAAUUAUCUUUUUCUCAAUCCUUUGGCUCCACCAGACUUCGUCGCCCCCAUGACCUGGUGUUGGGUCUGAUCACCCCAACAAUGCACCACCACGCCUGGCCAAUUUUUGUAUUUUUAGUAGUGUGGGGAAAAG